GGGGUUGUGGCUCAGUGGUAGAGUGCUUGCCUAGCAUGCACGAGGCAUUGGGUUUGAUCCCUGUAAUCACA
Ictidomys tridecemlineatus (thirteen-lined ground squirrel) is the source of this 71-nucleotide non-coding RNA. The record is from Rfam. NCBI's taxonomy places the organism in Eukaryota, Metazoa, Chordata, Mammalia, Rodentia, Sciuridae.